AAAUACAUUAAAUUUGGUAUAAAGGUGUUGGGGAGAAAAAAAACCGUGGGGGGCAUGUAUGUGUAUCUCUACUGAAAUGAGAGCGAUUUAAAACCCCCAUCGAGGAUCAAUUGGAGGGCAAGUCUGGUGCCAGCAGCCGCGGUAAUUCCAGCUCCAAUAGCGUAUACUAAAGUUGUUGCAGUUAAAAAGCUCGUAGUUGAAUUUAGGGUAUGGGGGGGGAUUGGUUUGGAAUUAAAGGAUUUAAAAUAUAGUGCCCCCCCCCCCCCCAUUCCGGAGGUUGUUUUCAAAAACCCCCCCUUUCCCGGAAAAAAAUUUAGGGGGUUCCAACCAAAAAAGGAAUUUGAAAUAGAAUAUUUGGGAAGAAUAAAAUAGGCCCUAGGGGCAUUUUGGUGGGUUUGUACCCUUGAAAAAGGAUUAACAGGGACAUUUGGGGGUAUUCUUAUUUCCUUUUCAAAGGUGAAAUUCUUGAAUUUUGAAAAAACAAACAAUUGCAAAAGCAUUUACCAAGGAUUUUUUCUUUAACCAAAAACAAAAUUUAGGGGAUCA
Molecule: ribosomal RNA, 546 nt
Filed under: Thraustochytrium sp.
Lineage: Eukaryota; Bigyra; Thraustochytrida; Thraustochytriidae
Description: partial 18S ribosomal RNA
Rfam family: Eukaryotic small subunit ribosomal RNA
Source: RNAcentral